AACAAUCAACUGUCGCCGAUCAAGAAUCAGCUGUUUUGUAUCAAUCCGCAUGUGAAAAAACACUGUCCACUCACUCCAAUGGCAUUACUCAAUCAACGUCUUGCUAUGCGUAAAAAUAUAGUUCUGUUAACAAAACUUGAAAGAUCACAUUAUUGCAGUUAUAUUUCUGUCUGAUUUACACAGCGUACACUAUCUAGCAUUGAUAAAAGAAGACAAUUUUCAAAAAAGGUUCAACAGGCUUUUUAAUCAAGGCUUGUUUUGACAAGACCUCUCAUUGACAAGACAAUAGCCGUCGUGCAUCACCAUGGACAUGAAUUUCACAAUGAGAAGAGGAAACACGAAAAACCUGUCAAUUUUUUCAUGUGUCAUUCGGUAAAAAUGCAAAAACCUGUAUCAACAACAUAGAAGGAAUGUACAGAAGUCAUGUUUGAUUGAGAAAAGUUACGACAAGUAGGUAAACUUUGAAAAAUACGAUUGCUGUCAGUGUCGGAAAGAAUGACCCGACUUGACCCAGAUAUGAGACAGCCGAAACCAGGAAUGACAAGAGAACCGGCGUUACAGUUUAAUCCGGACAACAAGUUUAAUGAACAUCGUUUGUGAUUUGAGACAAAUGUGACUGAUGGGAAACAUGUGCAUGUGGGAUUUUAGGAGGACUUGUCAAACGCGUUUGUGGAUCGGACACAGUCAGAUGACGGGAGUUUGUUGAUAUUUUGAUGUGAUUCAUAAUGGUCGAAUACCUGUUGAUAGACUAACACGGUAUCUGGAGACUUGGUGACAAGCUGUCCGCAUUCACGGAGUUCAUUUAGUUUAAUGUCGGACACAGGAUCACCUCGCUGGGUUAUCGAUGUCAUCAUCGUUCACAAAGGCAAACCUGUCUAUACAAAGUCCGGUUUUGGGGAUUCGUGUGGUCGAAAGAUUUGCCAAACAGCAAGUCCUCUAACACAGACGCAAAGCUGAAUCUUGGAACUUCAAUCUGGCCGGCCAUAUGCAGUUUUGAUAACAAAGACAUUAAAUGUGUUCAGAGGUUGAAUUGUGCGAAUAACUCUUCCUGUCAGAUCUCCGUCUACUUUAACGAGGUCAUUUAGUUUGACAGGUGUCAAAUGGUAGGCCAUGUUUGUUUACAAACAAUGCAGACGUAGUUUUGUUUUUUGUAAUUACGCUUAUUGUAAACUAAAACUUGUGCGAAAUAAAUGCUUUAUUCAUUAUA
Haliotis rufescens (red abalone) is the source of this 1207-nucleotide long non-coding RNA. RefSeq lists it as uncharacterized. Lineage: Eukaryota; Metazoa; Mollusca; Gastropoda; Lepetellida; Haliotidae. The transcript has 2 exons. The record is from RefSeq and is a predicted model, not a curated record.